This is a long non-coding RNA of Equus caballus (horse), 2447 nucleotides long. The record is from Ensembl. NCBI's taxonomy places the organism in Eukaryota, Metazoa, Chordata, Mammalia, Perissodactyla, Equidae.
CAUUUGUGUUGGAAGGUCCGUGUCCUCCAUUAGACUUCAAGGACAUGAACGGCUACCAACGUGAAGACUCUGAACUCAGAGCUGGGAAGAGAUGCACCCACAAGCAUGAACUGACGCAGCUCCGCGGGAGCAGAGCCGGGAAAGGAACCUAGAUUCAGGACUCUGCCCACUGCGCCAGACCACACCUCGCUGUCCUCUUAGCAGAAAUCAUGACCACGCAGUUCAGGGCUGAGCCCCACACUCUGGUGCUUUUGACCACAGCCAGAACGAAAUCAGAAAUCAGACUGAGUCCUUAGGAAUGUGGUAUGACUGGGGAAGCACCUGAGGGCCCAAGCCCCUGCACUUGUGUCCUUUGAGGGGAAAGUGGAAGAGGUGAGAGAAUGAUUCUGAGAACUAUGGGUGGAGUCUUGGCAAACUUCAGAGGCCAAAGAGAAGACAUUUAUGCCAGCUGGCCUUGGACGAUUGUAACCAGAAACGCUGUGGUGGUAUUGUGAUUGGGUGGAAGGCAGAGUGAGGUCAUGCUGGGAGAAGUGGGACAAAGAGGAGGGCAUGCUUCAUCUUUUUUGCAUUUCCUUCAGGGCUAACUUAAGAAAACAGCAAAAAUUAAGUUCACAUGAAAAUCACUUUAAAAAACAAAAGAAGUAUCUGCUAAGAGCCUCCAAAACUCUGGGAUUCUAGAGACAGCUGUUGUUUGGAGACGUUCCCUUGCAAGGAGUUCAGGCCUCUGCUGGUCCUUCCUUGUUCAGCACUCCAGUUCACAGAAUCAUAAAAUUAUAGGGUUUAUUUUAGAGAUGAGAAAAACCUGAGGCCCAGAGAGGUGACAUAAUUUGCCCAAGAUUGCGCCACUAUUUAUUAGGUCAGCAGCAGCUAGAAUUCAAAUUUCCUAGGUCUAGUCUAGCCUUGGAUCUUAAUGUAGAUCCCUAGACAUUAAAAAGUAUGUCUCUAAGUUAUCUUUUGUUAAAAAUUAUUGUAAUAGAAAUGCAUGGCUAUAAUAGAAAAUCUGUAAGGUAUAGAACAUUAAAAAAUGACAAUAAAAAUGACCAUUACGGGGCCAGCCCCUCGGUGUAGUGCUUGGGCUUGGCAUGCUCUGCUUUGGCAGCCCAGGUUCUCAAGUUCAGAUCCCAGACGCAGACCUACACUGCUCGUCAGCCAUGCUGUGGCGGUGACCCACAUAUAAAGUGGAAGAAGAUUGGCACAGGUCUAAUCUUCCUCAGCAAAAAGAAAAAAGAAAAGAAAAGAAAAAAGACCAUUAUGCUGCCACUCAAUCACUGUGAAUCAUGUAUGCUUGCUCCCACCUAGACCAGUGGUUCUCAGCCUCACUGCAUAGUAGUGUCAUCAGGAGGCCUUGUAAAAAUCUCUAUGAAGGGUUGAAAAAUCCCAAUGUCCAGGUUGUACUCCUAAGGAAUUAGAUGAGAAUCUUGGGGUUGGGGGCAGCAAGCAUCAGUAUUAUUUGAAGCUCCUCAGAUGAUGCAAGUGUGCGCCCAAGGUUGAAGACCACUGGACUAGAAUAUUCUCCUCCCAUAUCUUUGCAUAGCUGGCUCCUUCCCAUUGGUCACUUCUCAGUGUUAGCUCCUCAGAGUGGCCUGUCCUCACCACUGCUCCUAAAGCAGUUCCCUCCCAUCCAGUCAUCCUCGAUCCCGACCCUUUUUGAUGUUCUUUGUGGUCUGUAUCAUUAUUUGAAAUUAUCUUAAAUGGAUGCAGGUAUCUGUUUGUUUUCCAUCUCCCUCCUUUAGCAAGUAAGUCCACGGAGGUGGGCCCCUUAACUGUCUUCUUCAUAGCUGUAACCCAAUGCCCUUGCAGUCCCAGGAGCUGGAGGCCCCCGAAACGCAUUUGAUGAAUGAGUGAACGGAUUUAUGGUUACUUCUUCAUCUUUCUUCAUGUGUAUGUAAACAUAUGCAUAUACUUAUAUAUACACAUACACAUGCAACAAAAUUGUGUGUUUUAAAAAUAUAUUUCAGGGACUGGCCUGGUGGUGUAGUGGUUGGGUUCGUGUGCUCCCUUCAGCCGCCCAGGGUUCUCAGGUUCCCAGGCACAGACUUGCACAACGCUCAUCAAGCCAUACUGUGGCGGUGUCCCACAUACAAAAAAGUAGGUGGCAUAGAUGUUAGCUCAGGGACAGUCUUCCUCAAGCAAAAAGAGGAAGAUCGGCAACAGUUGUUAGCUCAGGGCCAAUCUUCUUCACCAGAAAAAAAAUGUAUAUAUAUAAAUAUGUAUACUUCAGAGCCAGCCUUGAUGAUCUAGUGGUUAAAGUUCGGCGUUCUCAUUGUUUUGAUGUCUGGGGUUUGUUUCCUGGUCAUGGAACCACACCACCCGUCUGUUGGUUGCCAUGCUGUGGCAGCAGCUCACAAAGAAGAACUAGAAGGACUUACAACUAGGAUAUACAACCAUGCACUGGGCCUUUGGGGAGAGAAAAAAAAAGAGGAUUGGCAACAGACGUUAGCUUAGGG